GGCAAGAUGGCCGAGUUGGUCCAAGGCGUGAGGUUAAGGUCUACCUUAAUAUCAACUUCCCAAGUUCCUCAUCAUCGUAUGAUGGCGUGGGUUCGAAUCCCACUCUUGUCA
This is a non-coding RNA of Aspergillus lentulus, 111 nucleotides long. NCBI's taxonomy places the organism in Eukaryota, Fungi, Ascomycota, Eurotiomycetes, Eurotiales, Aspergillaceae. The record is from Rfam.